Mustela erminea (ermine) is the source of this 739-nucleotide long non-coding RNA. RefSeq lists it as uncharacterized. The record is from RefSeq and is a predicted model, not a curated record. NCBI's taxonomy places the organism in Eukaryota, Metazoa, Chordata, Mammalia, Carnivora, Mustelidae. The transcript is spliced from 2 exons.
CAGGACCCUGAGACCAUGACCUGAGCCGAAGGCAGAGGCUUUAACCCACUGAGCCACCCAGGUGCCCCGAUUUACAAUAUUAUUGAGGGCAAGAAGAUGACCCUGGCGCUGAGAAGCUUGGAGAAAAGUGAACAAGCCAGAAUUUUUGGCCAAAAAUCCAUGUUUGUUUGUUUGGUUUUUUUGAUGCCAUGUAUCAUGUCUUGGGAGACCUGACUUCAGUCGUGCUGAUCAUGAUCACAUCCUCUAGGACAACUAGAAGAUCAAAUACAGUAUUUUCUGGAUCGGCCCAAAGAUGAAACAUCUUGGAAAAACACAUCACAUUCGACCUUGGACCCGAGAUGGGAACGCUAAGUGCUUUGAAGCAAGUAGAUUUAAUUUGGAUGCCGGAAGGCCCUGCCGAGCUACGCAUACACUGGACGAUUCUCAGGGAGCAAACGGUGGUCUCACGUGGAAAAUGAGCUGGACGUGGCUCUGCAUCCAGCUCCACAGACCUCAGUAUCCGUCCCUCCACCAGUGCCGCACAUGCUCGAUGACAACAGCAAUGCAGUAGGUCUUAGUAUCAGGUAGAAGGAGCCUCUCACUUUAUUCUCCUUCUUCAAGAUUGAUUGUUUAUUGAUUUAUUAUUUUUUAGCUAUUCUAGGGCCUAUCCUGUGCAUAUUAGUUUAAGUUUAUCUGUGUCUACUAAAAUUCUUUGAGAUUUUGAUGGGAAUUGCAUUAAACUUUUAGAUUAAUUUUGGGA